GCAAACUCAGUUGGUUAGAGCAUGGUGUUGAUAAUGCCAAGGUUGCAGGUUUGAUCCCCGUAAUGGAGAGCUGCU
This is a non-coding RNA of Podarcis lilfordi (Lilford's wall lizard), 75 nucleotides long. The record is from the annotation of a GenBank genome assembly. NCBI's taxonomy places the organism in Eukaryota, Metazoa, Chordata, Lepidosauria, Squamata, Lacertidae.